UGUACACAUUCAAUCAAGCUCAAUGCCUGAGAGAAGAUAGUAUGUUCUUCGGACAGCGUUUUGCGAUUCGCUACAUUCUUCUGCAUUUAUUUGAGUGUAUAAAACAUACCACAGCUAAGUGAUGUGAAAACGUUUGUUUACAAUCAAAGAAAAACAAUUCGGCCAGUCCGUCACAAUGCUCAAACUUUACAUCGUUGGAGUGACAUUUGCACUGACGGUGGUGCUGGUGCAUCUUGCUUCGACGGCCGAAUCCUCUACCGAUCAGGCCUUACUGCAAACCACAACACCGUGGGAUGUUGACGAUCGUUGCACGCUGUGCAACAAGGCCUGUCCAAAGGAUCAUGUUUUCGCGGAAGGAAAAUGUCGCAAACCGAGGGUGAAGAAAAACGGGAGGCCAGUUAAAUUUAAAUGAAUUUAGAUUUUAGAAUAAAGGAGUAGUUUAAUGUAGACAAUAAAACAAUAAAUAAUUGUACAGAUGGUGGACUGUUUGCUUUACAUCUGUAUCCAAAAGUAA
Molecule: long non-coding RNA, 514 nt
Organism: Culex quinquefasciatus (southern house mosquito)
Lineage: Eukaryota; Metazoa; Arthropoda; Insecta; Diptera; Culicidae
Exons: 2
Source: RefSeq, a predicted model, not a curated record